ACUCAAAGGAAUUGACGGGGGCCCGCACAAGCGGUGGAUCAUGUGGUUCAAUUCGAAGCAACGCGAAAAACCUUACCUGGGUUUGACAUCCUCUGACAACCAUAGAGAUAUGGCUUUCGUAGCAAUACGACAGAGAGACAGGUGCUGCAUGGCUGUCGUCAGCUCGUGUGGUGACAUGUUGGGUUAAGUCCCGCAACGAGCGCAACCCCUAUUUUUAGUUGCCAGCAUUAAGUUGGGCACUCUAGAGAGACUGCCGUGGUUAACACGGAGGAAGGUGGGGAUGACGUCAAGUCCUCAUGGCCCUUAUAUCCAGGGCAACACACGUGAUACAAUGGACGGUACAGAGGGACGCGAAAGGGCGACCUGGAGCUAAUCUCAAAAAACCGUUCUCAGUUCGGAUUGGAGUCUGCAAUUCGACUCCAUGAAGGUGGAAUCGCUAGUAAUCGCGGAUCAGAACGCCGCGGUGAAUACGUUCCCGGGCCUUGUACACACCGCCCGU
Molecule: ribosomal RNA, 499 nt
Filed under: uncultured bacterium
Lineage: Bacteria
Description: partial 16S ribosomal RNA
Rfam family: Bacterial small subunit ribosomal RNA
Source: RNAcentral